This 200-nucleotide unclassified non-coding RNA is filed under the name soil metagenome. RNAcentral's name for it is "partial contains internal transcribed spacer 2 and large subunit ribosomal RNA". The record is from RNAcentral.
CACUAAUCAAGCCUGGCUUGCUGUUGGACCUCUUGUCAAUUAAACUCGACGGGCCCCAAAGAUAAUGACGGUGUUAUUAGGACCUCAGAUGCAACGAGCUUUCAUUAGCACGCAUAUUGUUACGCCUUUUAACCCGGUCUUUUUUUAACCAAUUUCUAAAGGUUGACCUCGGAUCAGGUAGGAAUACCCGCUGAACUUAA